UAGGGAAUCUUCGGCAAUGGGGGGAACCCUGACCGAGCAACGCCGCGUGAGUGAAGAAGGUUUUCGGAUCGUAAAGCUCUGUUGUUAAGGAAGAACGAGUGUGAGAAUGGAAAGUUCAUGCUGUGACGGUACUUAACCAGAAAGGGACGGCUAACUACGUGCCAGCAGCCGCGGUAAUACGUAGGUCCCGAGCGUUGUCCGGAUUUAUUGGGCGUAAAGCGAGCGCAGGCGGUUAGAAAAGUCUGAAGUGAAAGGCAGUGGCUCAACCAUUGUAGGCUUUGGAAACUGUUUAACUUGGGUGCAGAAGGGGAGAGUGGAAUUCCAUGUGUAACGGUGAAAUGCGUAGAUAUAUGGAGGAACACCAGUGGCGAAGGCGACUCUCUGGUCUGUAACUGACGCUGAGGCUCGAAAGCGUGGGGAGCGAACAGG
RNAcentral lists this ribosomal RNA (429 nucleotides) under Bacteroidota bacterium. RNAcentral's name for it is "Bacteroidetes bacterium partial 16S ribosomal RNA". It matches the Rfam family "Bacterial small subunit ribosomal RNA", at positions 355 to 776 of the family's 1533-position model. Lineage: Bacteria; Pseudomonadati; Bacteroidota. The record is from RNAcentral.